RNAcentral lists this ribosomal RNA (240 nucleotides) under uncultured bacterium. RNAcentral describes it as "partial 16S ribosomal RNA". It matches the Rfam family "Bacterial small subunit ribosomal RNA", at positions 100 to 334 of the family's 1533-position model. The record is from RNAcentral.
CGGAACGGUCGCGUAACACGUAAGCAACCUGCCGAAAGACCGGGACAACAGUUCGAAAGGGCUGCUAAUACCGGAUGUGCCCAUGCUUUCACCUGGGAGCAUGGGUAAAGCCUCGCAAGGGGGCUUUCGGAGGGGCUUGCGGCCUAUCAGGUAGUUGGUGGGGUAACGGCCUACCAAGCCAUCGACGGGUAGCUGGUCUGAGAGGAUGGUCAGCCGGACUGGGACUGAGAGACGGCCCAG